AGUCGAAGUGCUUCCGAGGCAGCGCACCGCGACUGCCUCCGCUUCAACUUCAGAGCUCACGCCGCACAGGGUAAGGGACCAAGGCCGCUCCUCCCGUACCUCAGCCGGGCCGGGCCAGCAGUUCGGGCAGGAGCACGACCGCGCGUGUCCGAGGAGCGGCCGCAGGUGAGGGGGCUGAGCCGCGACCCCCGGGGCAAGGCGGGCGGCUGCAGCCCCACCCGGGCCUACCGGCCCCGCGGCCCUGAAGGCAGCCCCGGCCCGGCGACCCACCUUGAGCAGGAUGGAGGGCGGCAGCUGGUUGAUGUCGGGCGGCGACGACGGUUCCCGGCAGCCGUCCCCGGGGUGCUCCAAAGGCUCCUCGCCGCUCCGCUCCUUCACUCCCUCCUUCUCGUCUCCGGAGGGAGGGGGCGGCGGCGAUACCGACCGGUCCCCUCCGUCUCCGCUCCCGGCGGGGCACCUCGGCGGCGCGGUCCCGCCGCUCCCCGCCCCGUCGGCGGCCGAGGGCAAGGCGCAGGGCUGCGGCUCCGCGGGGCACUGGCAGGCAGCAGCUUCGGGGUCCGCCGCGCCGGCGGCGCAGCGCGGCUGCUUGCAGGGGGUGCAGGCGGGCAGGCCGGCCCCCUUGCGCUUGCACACCAUCUCGGAGACGGCCUCGCCAGGCGGCCCGGCCGGCCCCAGGAGGCCUCGCACCGGCGAGGGCAGCAGGCCCGAGAGGAGGAGGCGCCGGCAGCGGCCGCGCGGCUCCCAGGCGGCGGGCGGCAGGCGGAGGAGGCGGCGCGCGGCGCGCUGCUCGGCGGCGGCGUGGGACGCGUAGGGCGGCGGCAGCAGCGGGUCCCCGGCGGGCAGGGGCGGUUCCGGGGCGGACGAGCUGGCGCCGUGCACGAUGAAGCAGAGCAUGCAGGGCCCGCGCAGGAAGCAGCUCCGGCUGCGCGGCGGCACCUUCCUCCCGCGGCGGCGACGGCGGCCGCCGCUGUCCCGGCUCAGGCUGCUGGCCUCCUUGGAGAGCAGGUGGCCCAUAUAGGAGGCGGCGGCGAAAGGGCCCGCGGGGCGUCACCUGCGGGCGGCGGCCGCUGUCAUGCUGCCGGCGGGGGCGGCAGGUGGCGGCGCCGGGGGCGGCGGGGCUGGUUCCGGGACGCGGAGCCGGGAGGGAGACGCUUCCGCUACCGCCGCCCUGACCUUCCCCGCGGGACGCGAGGAGGCGGCGCUGCGGAGGGGCCGCCGCCGCCGCCCGGUGGUGCUGCCGCCAGCGGCCGGGCCGGGAGCCGCCGCCGGAGAGACGGCCGGGAAGGGCCUGGAGGCCCGGCGGCCUCACUCGGGUGGAGACGGGGCCGCCCCAUCACGCGCGGUGCGGGUGCGCUCAGGCAGAAAAACUUACACCUGCUGAAUGAGACCUAA
RNAcentral lists this long non-coding RNA (1392 nucleotides) under Coturnix japonica (Japanese quail). RNAcentral's name for it is "lncRNA (ENSCJPG00005009648.1)". The record is from RNAcentral. Lineage: Eukaryota; Metazoa; Chordata; Aves; Galliformes; Phasianidae.